ACGGCAUUUUCCCCAUAAAAGUAGUACCCUGCAUCAUUCAACCUUUUCAAGUUGUUUGUGUCAUGUCCAAGGUUAAUCACUUAAUCCCAGCUCAAAUAAACCUUAAUCAAUGAGAUAUCUAUACCUUGUUAAACUACAUCUUUAUUCUAUUUUGCGUAUUUUAUCUCAUUAUGGUUUUAUUUUCUAUCCAUAUAAGAUGUAAUUUACUUUGAGUGAAUAUAUAUAUACUAUAUUGCUUUGGCAUGGCCAUAAUAGGAUAAGAUUAUAGGCAUCCUGUGUUAUUUGUGUCCUGCAUAUAUCAAAAUGCGUUUAUAUUGUUAACAGCAUCUUCUAUACCUGUACCCUUUUGAGGAAGUGCUAGUAACCUAAGACAAGUCAAACAAGCAGUAGCAUUUGAGGUGAUCAUUGACACUCUUUGCCUUACAAUAUUGGGUAAACUAUGAGAUGGCUUAAACUCUUGACGAGAAGAUUUUAAUUGCCAAUGUUGGUGACUCAAAGGCCCUUUUAUGCACAAAGAAAAUCCAGUCUGGUCAGGGUGACUUGACAGCCAGUCUUUCAGCUACUGAACUAACAGAAGAUCAUAGUCCAGGUAGAGAUGAUGAAAGAGCUCGAAUUGAAGUAGCUGGUGGUGACCAUGGUGGAUGGAUUAAUAUCAUGGUGCAGGUCAUGGUGAAUGGACUUCUCUUCCAAUUAUCUUUUCCACUGAAUUAUCUUGGCAGUGUUUAUCGUGAGACCAUAUAGAGUCUUGUUGAUAUGAAGUCCAUGUUUCAGUUGCUGGAGUUCUUAAUGCAAGGGAAAGUUGGUGGCUAUGCAUCAUUCUUUGAGAAGUACCACAAGAAGGCAAAAUCCUUUAUUUGAGACCCUUUAAACAUUAGUACGUUAGGU
Molecule: long non-coding RNA, 885 nt
Organism: Quercus robur (English oak)
Lineage: Eukaryota; Viridiplantae; Streptophyta; Magnoliopsida; Fagales; Fagaceae
Exons: 3
Source: RefSeq, a predicted model, not a curated record